This 163-nucleotide ribosomal RNA is filed under the name Nanocnide japonica. RNAcentral's name for it is "5.8S rRNA". The stretch from base 21 to 163 matches the Rfam family "5.8S ribosomal RNA". From Rfam's summary of the family: 5.8S ribosomal RNA (5.8S rRNA) is a component of the large subunit of the eukaryotic ribosome. It is transcribed by RNA polymerase I as part of the 45S precursor that also contains 18S and 28S rRNA. Lineage: Eukaryota; Viridiplantae; Streptophyta; Magnoliopsida; Rosales; Urticaceae. The record is from RNAcentral.
AGUGUUCGAUAAGUCAUAACGACUCUCGGCAACGGAUAUCUCGGCUCUCGCAUCGAUGAAGAACGUAGCGAAAUGCGAUACGUGGUGUGAAUUGCAGGAUCCCGUGAACCAUCGAGUUUUUGAACGCAAGUUGCGCCCAAAGCCAUUCGGCCGAGGGCACGUC